UUCAAGCGAGUGGCGAACGGGUGAGUAACACGUGGAUAACCUGCCUCAAGGCUGGGGAUAACAUUUGGAAACAGAUGCUAAUACCGAAUAAAACUUAGUAUCGCAUGAUAUCAAGUUAAAAGGCGCUACGGCGUCACCUAGAGAUGGAUCCGCGGUGCAUUAGUUAGUUGGUGGGGUAAAGGCUUACCAAGACGAUGAUGCAUAGCCGAGUUGAGAGACUGAUCGGCCACAUUGGGACUGAGACACGGCCCAAACUCCUACGGGAGGCUGCAGUAGGGAAUCUUCCACAAUGGGCGCAAGCCUGAUGGAGCAACGCCGCGUGUGUGAUGAAGGCUUUCGGGUCGUAAAGCACUGUUGUAUGGGAAGAAAUGCUAAAAUAGGGAAUGAUUUUAGUUUGACGGUACCAUACCAGAAAGGGACGGCUAAAUACGUGCCAGCAGCCGCGGUAAUACGUAUGUCCCGAGCGUUAUCCGGAUUUAUUGGGCGUAAAGCGAGCGCAGACGGUUGAUUAAGUCUGAUGUGAAAGCCCGGAGCUCAACUCCGGAAUGGCAUUGGAAACUGGUUAACUUGAGUGUUGUAGAGGUAAGUGGAACUCCAUGUGUAGCGGUGGAAUGCGUAGAUAUAUGGAAGAACACCAGUGGCGAAGGCGGCUUACUGGACAACAACUGACGUUGAGGCUCGAAAGUGUGGGUAGCAAACAGGAUUAGAUACCCUGGUAGUCCACACCGUAAACGAUGAAUACUAGGUGUUAGGAGGUUUCCGCCUCUUAGUGCCGAAGCUAACGCAUUAAGUAUUCCGCCUGGGGAGUACGACCGCAAGGUUGAAACUCAAAGGAAUUGACGGGGACCCGCACAAGCGGUGGAGCAUGUGGUUUAAUUCGAAGCAACGCGAAGAACCUUACCAGGUCUUGACAUCCUUUGAAGCUUUUAGAGAUAGAAGUGUUCUCUUCGGAGACAAAGUGACAGGUGGUGCAUGGUCGUCGUCAGCUCGUGUCGUGAGAUGUUGGGUUAAGUCCCGCAACGAGCGCAACCCUUAUUGUUAGUUGCCAGCAUUCAGUUGGGCACUCUAGCGAGACUGCCGGUGACAAACCGGAGGAAGGCGGGGACGACGUCAGAUCAUC
Molecule: ribosomal RNA, 1120 nt
Filed under: Leuconostoc citreum
Lineage: Bacteria; Bacillati; Bacillota; Bacilli; Lactobacillales; Lactobacillaceae
Description: bacterial SSU rRNA
Rfam family: Bacterial small subunit ribosomal RNA
Source: RNAcentral